GGCUCGCAGGCGGUUUCUUAAGUCUGAUGUGAAAGCCCCCGGCUCAACCGGGGAGGGUCAUUGGAAACUGGGGAACUUGAGUGCAGAAGAGGAGAGUGGAAUUCCACGUGUAGCGGUGAAAUGCGUAGAGAUGUGGAGGAACACCAGUGGCGAAGGCGACUCUCUGGUCUGUAACUGACGCUGAGGAGCGAAAGCGUGGGGAGCGAACAGGAUUAGAUACCCUGGUAGUCCACGCCGUAAACGAUGAGUGCUAAGUGUUAGGGGGUUUCCGCCCCUUAGUGCUGCAGCUAACGCAUUAAGCACUCCGCCUGGGGAGUACGGUCGCAAGACUGAAACUCAAAGGAAUUGACGGGGGCCCGCACAAGCGGUGGAGCAUGUGGUUUAAUUCGAAGCAACGCGAAGAACCUUACCAGGUCUUGACAUCCUCUGAGAAUCCUAGAGAUAGGACGUCCCCUUCGGGGGCAGAGUGACAGGUGGUGCAUGGUUGUCGUCAGCUCGUGUCGUGAGAUGUUGGGUUAAGUCCCGCAACGAGCGCAACCCUUGAUCUUAGUUGCCAGCAUUCAGUUGGGCACUCUAAGGUGACUGCCGGUGACAAACCGGAGGAAGGUGGGGAUGACGUCAAAUCAUCAUGCCCCUUAUGACCUGGGCUACACACGUGCUACAAUGGACGGAACAAAGGGCAGCGAAACCGCGAGGU
RNAcentral lists this ribosomal RNA (697 nucleotides) under Bacillus mojavensis. RNAcentral's name for it is "bacterial SSU rRNA". It matches the Rfam family "Bacterial small subunit ribosomal RNA", at positions 566 to 1263 of the family's 1533-position model. Lineage: Bacteria; Bacillati; Bacillota; Bacilli; Caryophanales; Bacillaceae. The record is from RNAcentral.